GAUGAACGCUGGCGGCGUGCCUAAUACAUGCAAGUCGAGCGAACAGACGAGGAGCUUGCUCCUCUGACGUUAGCGGCGGACGGGUGAGUAACACGUGGAUAACCUACCUAUAAGACUGGGAUAACUUCGGGAAACCGGAGCUAAUACCGGAUAACAUGUUGAACCGCAUGGUUCAACAGUGAAAGACGGUCUUGCUGUCACUUAUAGAUGGAUCCGCGCCGCAUUAGCUAGUUGGUAAGGUAACGGCUUACCAAGGCAACGAUGCGUAGCCGACCUGAGAGGGUGAUCGGCCACACUGGAACUGAGACACGGUCCAGACUCCUACGGGAGGCAGUAGUAGGGAAUCUUCCGCAAUGGGCGAAAGCCUGACGGAGCAACGCCGCGUGAGUGAAGAAGGUCUUUGGAUCGUAAAACUCUGUUAUUAGGGAAGAACAAAUGUGUAAGUAACUAUGCACGUCUUGACGGUACCUAAUCAGAAAGCCACGGCUAACUACGUG
RNAcentral lists this ribosomal RNA (497 nucleotides) under uncultured bacterium. RNAcentral's name for it is "partial 16S ribosomal RNA". It matches the Rfam family "Bacterial small subunit ribosomal RNA", at positions 28 to 507 of the family's 1533-position model. The record is from RNAcentral.